GUAAAAAUUUACUUAUAAGAAUAUGAUGUAAAGAUUAAACUGGAAAGUGAUAUGUAAGCAAAACAUUAUCACAGUAGCGGCUGGCAGGAAGCAUUUGUGGCAUCUCAGACUAGCCCAUUGUUCUCAUCACCGCAUAGCCAUUUAUUUAAUUUCUCUUUUCCUGUGAGGAGGAAGCGUUGUACUCUAGCCCAGGCAUUGGUGCUUAUACUGUGCACGUCACUAUUCUAGGCAUUGGGACAACACACGAAUGCGAUCCUUGACCUUGAGGAACUCAAAAGAGGAGAGAGUCAUUUAUGGAAGCUGUUCAAGGACAACUAUGAAUGGAGCUCUAAUGGAGCGUGUGUAUCAACGGAGAACGUACCAUUGGAUACAACAGUGCCUAAAAUCUCACACUUGGAAAUGCUUGAUGAAGGUGUUCACAGUUUAAUGCGGCUUAUGGAUUUAUACAGAUUAUUACAAAUAUUGCAUGGGUCUCUUGGCGUCCUCUGGAUCUCUCUUCUGUCUGGUGAAAAUUGUGGGAAAAUGGAGAAGAACAGCUCAGACUCCCUUAUGAAAUGCAUAAAAUCAGCAUUCCUUCUCUAUUACAGCCACCCUAGCUUUGUAUUGAGAAGUUGUGAAGCUAUUUUCCCCCCCCGGGGAAAAGAUGAAAAGCAUCAUACGCUUUUCGCUUCCCCCCUUUAAAAUUAUUAACACUACUUUGUCCUUGCCUAUUCACCUACCUCUUCCACUUAAACAUAGGGCCACGGUUUAAGGGGUGGGGGGACUGAGUAUUAUUUCAGUGAU
This 783-nucleotide long non-coding RNA is filed under the name Felis catus (domestic cat). RNAcentral's name for it is "lncRNA (ENSFCAG00000053269.1)". Lineage: Eukaryota; Metazoa; Chordata; Mammalia; Carnivora; Felidae. The record is from RNAcentral.